GAGUUCCCAACUAUUUCAAGUUAUAGGAAACUUAAGAAAAUUAAAGUUGAAACUCCUGAAUUCACAAGUAGCGAUGAAGUUGAAGUUGAUAAGCGUGAACCAUUUCUGAGCGUUCCAAUUGAGGACAGUCGAAGAACCGCACGCUUCAUCGGACCCGCGACCAUCACGACGGUGGUCGAGGCAAACAGGCUUUGGACCACCAAGCCUAUUUGGUACACGUGUCCUUGCACGUUGAAUCUCGAGGAUCCUCCCCUCACUGGGGCAAAGUAGAGACCGAGCUGGUGACAAAAGGCCGCACGCUUCGGCACGUGGCCGCCGGUGGGACGACUUCAGGGCACCACUCACGUCCCUAUGCGUUCUCUUCUCUAUUCCACCCUGCUCUCUUUUCAACGUCGGACCGUCGAUUGGCCACAAUUCAGUGUCGCGUCGUUGCACACAGUUUGCGGCGGUGAACGUCAAUUGCAUUGCGCCGCAUAUUUCAUUUUAGUCUGGUUCACAACCUAUCACCGCUUAAAGGGAUUCUAAUGAUAAUCCUUGAGGAGAAGGAAAAAUCAAAUGGUAAAUGGAAAAGCCAAAUCUGUGGAAGAUUAAUUUAGAAAUAUGAGAAUGCUGUCAUAAAUAAAACAGAUGCCUCAUAUGAUCAUGCAACAGGAAGGAAAAAACAGAGAAUCAGAAAAAUUCUAGAGUUUACCUU
Molecule: long non-coding RNA, 694 nt
Organism: Osmia bicornis bicornis
Lineage: Eukaryota; Metazoa; Arthropoda; Insecta; Hymenoptera; Megachilidae
Exons: 3
Source: RefSeq, a predicted model, not a curated record